UACCAGCACCCCGAGUGGUCGUGACGAUUAUUGGGCCUAAAGCAUCCGUAGCCGGUCCUGCAAGUCCUCCGUUAAAUCCACCCGCUCAACGGUUGGGCCGCGGGGGAUACUACAGGGCUAGGAGGCGGGAGAGGCAAGCGGUACUCGAUGGGUAGGGGUAAAAUCCACUGAUCCAUUGAAGACCACCAGUGGCGAAGGCGGCUUGCCAGAACGCGCUCGACGGUGAGGGAUGAAAGCUGGGGGAGCAAACCGG
This 253-nucleotide ribosomal RNA is filed under the name uncultured bacterium. RNAcentral describes it as "partial 16S ribosomal RNA". It matches the Rfam family "Archaeal small subunit ribosomal RNA", at positions 474 to 727 of the family's 1478-position model. The record is from RNAcentral.